GUGCUCACUUCGGCAGCCCAUACACUAAAAUUGGAACAAUGCAGAGAUUAGUGUGGCCCUUGCAUGAGGAUGACAGGCAAGUUUGUGAAAUGUUCCAUGUUUUA
Prolemur simus (greater bamboo lemur) is the source of this 104-nucleotide small nuclear RNA. Lineage: Eukaryota; Metazoa; Chordata; Mammalia; Primates; Lemuridae. The record is from Ensembl.